This 492-nucleotide ribosomal RNA is filed under the name uncultured bacterium. Its description in RNAcentral is "partial 16S ribosomal RNA". It matches the Rfam family "Bacterial small subunit ribosomal RNA", at positions 29 to 507 of the family's 1533-position model. The record is from RNAcentral.
AGUGAACGCUGGCGGUAGGCCUAACACAUGCAAGUCGAACGGCAGCACAGUAAGAGCUUGCUCUUACGGGUGGCGAGUGGCGGACGGGUGAGGAAUACAUCGGAAUCUACUUUUUCGUGGGGGAUAACGUAGGGAAACUUACGCUAAUACCGCAUACGACCUACGGGUGAAAGCAGGGGAUCUUCGGACCUUGCGCGAUUGAAUGAGCCGAUGUCGGAUUAGCUAGUUGGCGGGGUAAAGGCCCACCAAGGCGACGAUCCGUAGGUGGUAUGAGAGGAUGAUCAGCCACACUGGAACUGAGACACGUUCCAGACUCCUACGGGAGGCAGCAGUGGGGAAUAUUGGACAAUGGGCGCAAGCCUGAUCCAGCCAUACCGCGUGGGUGAAGAAGGCCUUCGGGUUGUAAAGCCCUUUUGUUGGGAAAGAAAAGCAGCAGGUUAAUACCCCGCUGUUCUGACGGUACCCAAAGAAUAAGCACCGGCUAACUUCGUG